Molecule: non-coding RNA, 124 nt
Organism: Teratosphaeria nubilosa
Lineage: Eukaryota; Fungi; Ascomycota; Dothideomycetes; Mycosphaerellales; Teratosphaeriaceae
Source: the annotation of a GenBank genome assembly
GCUCGCUUAGCUCAGUGGUAGAGCGUGGGAUUGCAGAUCCUAAGGGUAUGUCGCGCUCAACUUCGGAUCGCUUGAGUUUCGCUAACAAACGGGACAGUCGGUUGUUCGACCCAGCCAGCGAGCU